Molecule: long non-coding RNA, 322 nt
Organism: Cervus elaphus (red deer)
Lineage: Eukaryota; Metazoa; Chordata; Mammalia; Artiodactyla; Cervidae
Exons: 2
Source: RefSeq, a predicted model, not a curated record
GGGGAUUCGUGGAAGUGGAGCGGAAGUCGACCGCUUAAGCUGUUGAGAAGAGUGUGAAGAGAAAGGGGCAUCGUUUGCGGCCUCGGCGUCUGUCAGCAGGCGUAGGCGGGACCACCGUCGCCACCUGUCUGGAAGACUCGAGGGGCCUCCGCACUCCCUCGCUCCGCUUCCACCGACGGCAACAAACCUAAUCUUAUACUUUCCUUUAGUAACCACGUUAAAAAAUAAAUAUAUAUUUUAAUAUGUUAAACUUAAUGUAGUAUAGCCACAAUAUCAUUUCAACAUGUGAUCGGUAUUAAAAUAAACACGAACCUGAGGUAUC